GCUUUGGGAAACUGGAGCGUUAGUGUGUCAAACGGGUGAGUAACACGUGGGUGACCUACCUCAAAGUGGGGAACAACAGACCGAAAGGUUUGCUAAUACCGCAUUAGUUCGGUGAUUCAAUUUGCCGAAUAAAGCCGCAAGGCGCUUUGAGAGGGGCCCGCGUCCCAUCAGGUAGUUGGUGAGGUAAUAUCCCACCAAGCCGAUGACGGGUAGCUGGUCUGAGAGGACGAUCAGCCACACUGGAACUGAGAUACGGUCCAGACUCCUACGGGAGGCAGCAGUGGGACUCCUACGGGAGGCAGCAGUGGG
Molecule: small RNA, 309 nt
Filed under: uncultured bacterium
Lineage: Bacteria
Description: bacterial SSU rRNA
Rfam family: Bacterial small subunit ribosomal RNA
Source: RNAcentral